UUAAAUAAGAUACCCUAUAGUCUUCUUAGCUAGGAGAUAUAAAGUAAAGGAAAAUUUCUGCUAUAGGAUUCUAUUUAAUUUGAUUAGGUAGUUGAUAGGGUAACGGCCUACCAAGCCAACGAUCAAAAGUCAAGUUUGAAAGAACCUCUGGCCACAUUGGGGAUGAAAUCUCCCAAGUAGUAAUAACACUACCAGCAGUCGAGAAUAUUAGUCAAUGCUCGUAAGAGUGAACUAGCUAACUGAAAUCAUAGAAUUUCUUCAAAUUCAUGAUGUCGUAAGGGAAAAUAAUGAUAAUACCUUACUAUGAGUGUCGUCCAAAUCUGGUGCCAGUAAGACUCGGUAAGACCAGAGACGCAAACGUUAAUCAUCAUAAAGCAGGCGUAAAGGGUUUGUAGGCAGCUUUUAUAAAAUUAUAUUAUUUUGAAAAAAAUAUCAAAAACUAAAUUGAAAGCUAGAAUCAAAAAGAGGUUAUAGGUGUAUAACGCCUAGGGGAGGGCUGAUAUCCAUAGAUCCUAGGCAGAAUACUCAGGGCGAGGGCCCACUCUCCACUAAUGAUUGACGCUGAGAAACGAAGGUUAGGGUAGGAAAAUAGGAUUAGAUACCCCGGUACUCCUUUUCU
Molecule: ribosomal RNA, 619 nt
Filed under: Ganoderma ryvardenii
Lineage: Eukaryota; Fungi; Basidiomycota; Agaricomycetes; Polyporales; Polyporaceae
Description: SSU rRNA
Rfam family: Bacterial small subunit ribosomal RNA
Source: RNAcentral